Zalophus californianus (California sea lion) is the source of this 106-nucleotide small nuclear RNA. The record is from Ensembl. Lineage: Eukaryota; Metazoa; Chordata; Mammalia; Carnivora; Otariidae.
GUGCUUGCUUUGGGAGUACAUACACUAAAAUUGGAGGAAUACAGAGAAGAUUAGCAUGGCCCCACUCAAGGGUGACAUGCAAAUUCAUGAAUCAUCCCAUUUUUUA